Long non-coding RNA from Ornithorhynchus anatinus (platypus), 892 nucleotides. RefSeq lists it as uncharacterized. The transcript is spliced from 3 exons. NCBI's taxonomy places the organism in Eukaryota, Metazoa, Chordata, Mammalia, Monotremata, Ornithorhynchidae. The record is from RefSeq and is a predicted model, not a curated record.
CCAGCUCCAGCCCGCCGGCUCCUCCUCCUCCUCCUCCGCCGGGGUAGGCGCAGGCCUGGCACAGGGCCGCCAGACAGCUACCAUGCUGACCUGGAGAUAGAGUCAUGCUACCUCAUUACUGCUGCAUUAAAAGAAAUGGAAAAAACAGGAAAUGUGACACCAAAGGAUGAAUAUAUGAAGCGUGUGAUCGUUUCUUUCCUUGACGUCCAGCUUCUAGAAACCCACUGUGGACUUUGCAUCCAUGAAUUUACCCCAACCUUUUCUGGAAAAAAAUGGAAUCUUCCACCAGCACGACUUCCCGUGGAAAUAAAUCUCCUAUUUUUCCUUCUGUUUGGAUUCUUCUAUAUUUAACCUUCUUGACUAUAUUGACUCUCCUCCCAGGGUUGAGGGAUUUGGUGGAAAACAAUUUCAGGUUCACAUUCUUUCAUGAUUCUGUAAACUUCAAUAAUGUCCUCUCAGUCUUUAUCUCUCCCAGGCAUCUUAACUGAAAACUGUUCCAUUAUUAUGACAGUUGUCCCACUCUAAACCUUCUUCAGCUGUAUUACAUCCUUCCCACGAUGGACGGGCACAAAAUAUUUGAAGUACGGAUAUACCAUAAUUCUGUAGGAAGGCACUACUAUGCUUUUGUUGUAUUAAAAAUGACUACUGGGGUUUCAAGUAAAUCAGUGGCUAUAAAUUCCAAGGCAACCAUUAAGUGUUGAAAAAGAGGAAUCCUUUGCCUUACUACAGUAUGUUCAGGUUAUGUUUAGAUCUGCAUGCACAAAAUAGGGUUUUUUGUUGUUGGUUUUUUGUUUUUUGGUUUUUUUUUUAAAUGAAUCUGGCAUGGCCCUGAAUUUGCUAAUGUUUGAUUAACCUACCAGGGCUUUAGAUGAAUAAAGCUAAGAAUCAGUGG